GCCACUGCUAUUGGGGUUCGGCUAAGCCAUGCGAGUGGAGGGCGUCCCGCAAGGGAUGGCCCCGCAGACGGCUUAGUAACACGUCGUCAACCCACCUUAGGGUGGGGGACAACCUCGGGAAACUGAGGAUAAUCCCCCCAUAGGCGGGAGAGGCUGGAAUGCGCCCCCGCUGAAAGCUCAGGCGCCCUAGGACGGGACGGCGGCCUAUCAGGUAGUUGGUGGUGUGACG
RNAcentral lists this ribosomal RNA (229 nucleotides) under uncultured archaeon. RNAcentral's name for it is "partial 16S ribosomal RNA". It matches the Rfam family "Archaeal small subunit ribosomal RNA", at positions 23 to 246 of the family's 1478-position model. The record is from RNAcentral.